GACGAACGCUGGCGGCGUGCCUAAUACAUGCAAGUCGAGCGCAGGAAAUCGACGGAACCCUUCGGGGGGAAGUCGACGGAAUGAGCGGCGGACGGGUGAGUAACACGUAAAGAACCUGCCCUCAGGUCUGGGAUAACCACGAGAAAUCGGGGCUAAUACCGGAUGGGUCAUCGGACCGCAUGGUCCGAGGAUGAAAGGCGCUUCGGCGUCGCCUGGGGAUGGCUUUGCGGUGCAUUAGCUAGUUGGUGGGGUAAUGGCCCACCAAGGCGACGAUGCAGAGCCGACCUGAGAGGGUGAUCGGCCACACUGGGACUGAGCCACGGCCCAGACUCCUACGGGAGGCAGCAGUAGGGAAUCUUCCACAAUGGACGAAAGUCUGAUGGAGCAACGCCGCGUGAACGAUGAAGGCCUUCGGGUCGUAAAGUUCUGUUGUAAGGGAAGAACAAGUGCCGCAGGCAAUGGCGGCACCUUGACGGUACCUUGCGAGAAAGCCACGGCUAACUACGUGCCAGCAGCCGCCGUAA
Molecule: ribosomal RNA, 524 nt
Filed under: uncultured bacterium
Lineage: Bacteria
Description: partial 16S ribosomal RNA
Rfam family: Bacterial small subunit ribosomal RNA
Source: RNAcentral